GCGAUUCCAGCUUCAUGCACUCGAGUUGCAGAGUGCAAUCCGGACUACGAUCGGUUUUCUGGGAUUAGCUCCCCCUCGCGGGUUGGCAACCCUCUGUUCCGACCAUUGUAUGACGUGUGAAGCCCUACCCAUAAGGGCCAUGAGGACUUGACGUCAUCCCCACCUUCCUCCGGUUUGUCACCGGCAGUCUCCUUAGAGUGCUCUUGCGUAGCAACUAAGGACAAGGGUUGCGCUCGUUGCGGGACUUAACCCAACAUCUCACGACACGAGCUGACGACAGCCAUGCAGCACCUGUGUAUCGGUUCUCUUUCGAGCACUCCCACCUCUCAGCAGGAUUCCGACCAUGUCAAGGGUAGGUAAGGUUUUUCGCGUUGCAUCGAAUUAAUCCACAUGCUCCACCGCUUGUGCGGACCCCCGCCAAUUCCUUUGAGUUUCAACCUUGCGGUCGUACUUCCCAGGUGGGAUACUUAAUGCUUUCGCUCAGACACACACGGUGUAUUGCGUAUGUCGAGUAUCCAUCGUUUAGGGCGU
Molecule: ribosomal RNA, 531 nt
Filed under: uncultured bacterium
Lineage: Bacteria
Description: partial 16S ribosomal RNA
Source: RNAcentral